This is a non-coding RNA of Pelobates cultripes (western spadefoot toad), 418 nucleotides long. NCBI's taxonomy places the organism in Eukaryota, Metazoa, Chordata, Amphibia, Anura, Pelobatidae. The record is from the annotation of a GenBank genome assembly.
ACUCAGACACACACACUCACUCACAGACACACACGCUCAGUCACUCACAGACACACACACUCUGUCACUCACACACACUGUCACUCACAGACACACGCUCAGUCACUCAGACACACACACUCACUCACAGACACACACGCUCAGUCACUCACAGACACACACGCUCAGUCACUCACAGACACACACACUCUGUCACUCACACACACUGUCACUCACAGACACACGCUCAGUCAUUCAGACACACACACUCACUCACAGACACACACGCUCAGUCACUCACAGACACACACACACAGUCACUCACAGACACACACGCUCAGUCACUCACAGACACACACACACUCAGUCACUCACACACACACUCUGUCACUCACACACACAUAGUCACUCACAGACACACACGCUCAGUCACUCACAG